UACGUAGGUGGCAAGCGUUGUCCGGAUUUACUGGGCGUAAAGGGCGCGUAGGCGGCGCGACAAGUCACUUGUGAAAUCUCCGGGCUUAACUCGGAACGGUCAAGUGAAACUGUCAUGCUAGAGUGCAGAAGGGGCAAUCGGAAUUCUUGGUGUAGCGGUGAAAUGCGUAGAUAUCAAGAGGAACACCUGAGGUGAAGACGGGUUGCUGGGCUGACACUGACGCUGAGGCGCGAAAGCCAGGGGAGCAAACGGG
This 253-nucleotide ribosomal RNA is filed under the name uncultured bacterium. Its description in RNAcentral is "partial 16S ribosomal RNA". It matches the Rfam family "Bacterial small subunit ribosomal RNA", at positions 524 to 776 of the family's 1533-position model. The record is from RNAcentral.